GACGAACGCUGGCGGCGUGCUUAACACAUGCAAGUCGAACGGAAAGGCCCUGCUUUUGUUGGGUGCUCGAGUGGCGAACGGGUGAGUAACACCUGAGUAACCUCCCCUGUACUUUGUGAUAACUUCAGGAAACUGGGGCUAAUACCUGAUAGGAGCUCCUGCUGCAGGGUGGGGGUUGGAAAGUUUCGGCGGGUGGGGAUGGACUGGCGGCUUAUCAGCUUGUUGGUGGGGUAGUGGCUUACCAAGGCUGUGCCGGGUAUCCGGCCUGAGAGGGUGACCGGCGACAUUGGGACUGAGAUACGGACCAGACUGCUACGGGAGGCAGCAGUGGGGAAUAUUGUCCAAUGGGGGGAAGCCUGAUGCAGCAGCGCCCCGUGCGGGAUGACGGCCUGCGGGUUGUAAACCGCUUUCGACUGUGACGAAGCGUGAGUGACGGUAAUGGGUAAAGAAGCACCGGCUAACUACGUG
Molecule: ribosomal RNA, 468 nt
Filed under: uncultured bacterium
Lineage: Bacteria
Description: partial 16S ribosomal RNA
Rfam family: Bacterial small subunit ribosomal RNA
Source: RNAcentral